GGAGGCGUAGCUCAGCUGGUUAGAGCGCAUGCUUCACACGCAUGAGGUCGAUGGUUCGAGCCCAUUCGUCUCCACCA
This 77-nucleotide transfer RNA is filed under the name Butyricimonas faecihominis. RNAcentral describes it as "tRNA-Val". It matches the Rfam family "tRNA". Rfam says of the family: Transfer RNA (tRNA) molecules are approximately 80 nucleotides in length. Their secondary structure includes four short double-helical elements and three loops (D, anti-codon, and T loops). Lineage: Bacteria; Pseudomonadati; Bacteroidota; Bacteroidia; Bacteroidales; Odoribacteraceae. The record is from RNAcentral. RNAcentral also lists the same sequence under 5 other names.